UAGCAACUUUCAGCAGUGGAUGUCUAGGCUCGCACAUCGAUGAAGAACGCUGCGAACUGCGAUACGUAAUGCGAAUUGCAGGAUUCAGUGAGUCAUCGAAAUUUUGAACGCAUAUUGCACUUCUGGGCUCUCUACUCAGGAGUAUGCCUGUAUCAGUGUCCGUA
Molecule: ribosomal RNA, 164 nt
Filed under: Peronospora trifolii-alpestris
Lineage: Eukaryota; Oomycota; Peronosporomycetes; Peronosporales; Peronosporaceae
Also listed under: 1 other name
Description: 5.8S ribosomal RNA
Rfam family: 5.8S ribosomal RNA
About the family: 5.8S ribosomal RNA (5.8S rRNA) is a component of the large subunit of the eukaryotic ribosome. It is transcribed by RNA polymerase I as part of the 45S precursor that also contains 18S and 28S rRNA.
Source: RNAcentral